UAGGUGUCGGGGGUUACCCCCUUCGGUGCCGCAGCUAACGCAUUAAGUACUCCGCCUGGGAAGAACGCUCGCAAGAGUGAAACUCAAAGGAAUUGACGGGGACCCUCACAAGUAGCGGAGCAUGUGGGUUAAUUCGGAGCAACGAGAAGAACCUUACCUAAGCUUGAGAUCCCAAUGACAUCUCCUUAAUCGGAGAGUUCCCUUCGGGGACAUUGGUGACAGGUGGUGCAUGGUUGUGGUAAGCUCGUGUCGAGAGAUGUUGGGUGAAGUGCCGCCACGAGCGCAACCGUUGGCUUUAGUUGCCAUCAUUAAGUUGGGCACUCUAGAGAGACUGCCAGGGAUAACCUGGAGGAAGGUGGGGAUGACGUCAAAUCAUCAUGCCCCUUAUGCUUAGGGCUACACACGUGCUACAAUGGGUAGUACAGAGGGUUGCCAAGCCGUAAGG
Molecule: ribosomal RNA, 445 nt
Filed under: Clostridioides difficile
Lineage: Bacteria; Bacillati; Bacillota; Clostridia; Peptostreptococcales; Peptostreptococcaceae
Description: bacterial SSU rRNA
Rfam family: Bacterial small subunit ribosomal RNA
Source: RNAcentral